This 2228-nucleotide unclassified non-coding RNA is filed under the name Leishmania donovani. RNAcentral's name for it is "gene:LdHU3.21.0600(CDS-product:hypothetical_prote in_conserved)". The record is from RNAcentral. Lineage: Eukaryota; Euglenozoa; Kinetoplastea; Trypanosomatida; Trypanosomatidae.
CCGCGCACACCCCUCACACACGUACGCCCAUCUCAUCUUUCGGCCUCCCCCUUCGUCAGCGUCCCCUCCCCCUUCCCUUCCUCCCCGUCGUCAGAGACAAGGUGUGUGCGCGCAGGGUGUGGUCUGCUGCACGUGGGCUGCAUCGUCGCUCACAAGAAACCCCACACGCACACGUACACACUCAAGCACGAUUGAGGAAAGGGGGCUCGAGCAUAUCGUCCUUGUCGCCGUCGUGGUGGUGCCGCUGUCGCACGCACUCGUCGCAUCUUUCGGUGUCUGUGUUUGUGUGUGUUUGUGUGUGUUUGUGUGUGUGUGUGGUGUGUGUCGGUGCAGAAGGUGGGAGAGGGCGGGAGGGUGUUGCCUUCUCGUUUUGCUUGACGCAUGCAACAUCGCCCGAGACUGCCAUCUGCGCGCAGCGUCCACCACGCCAUUCGCAAGGGUCCCUUGCCCGUUUGGUUUUGCUGUCCUCUCCUCCUCUCACGUCACGCACGCCGUCUCACCACACACGCGCCCACGGCAUGGCUUCUAUACUGACGAGACAGGCGCUGUGGGUGCCAGUGGUGAAGCACAACCCGGCGUUUGUUGAGAGCGUCCACAGGCUGCUUCGAAGCAGCCCCAUCACCUCUCUUACCGCCGCCGCCAUCGGGCUAAAGCUGGAGGAGGUGCAAGUCGCGCUGGAGCCAGACGCGUGGCACCCCGACAAGAUGGUGGCGUCCAUGAUGGCGUUCCCGGUACAGAUCUCGGCUGCUGCGUGUGACUACAUGCUCGAGCAGCAACAGCGACAGCAGCCGAAACCCCGAGAGCUUACUUUCGGGUUCGCGAUUUCCAUCUGCGACUCGUGCAACACGCUCCAUGUGAUGGAGCGGCUGCUGCCAGCGUCCAGCCGGCACGUAUCUGUCAACAUGCAGACCCACUGCAUGCGCAACCUCCGGGAAGAGGAAAAGGUGGUGGUGGUGAGCACCAUCGACAAGAUGGGCAAGCGGCUCGUGUACUGCAAGACAGACUUUUUCGUUGAGGCGGCAGAGCCAGUGCCGGAGGAGGUGGUGCAGCGCGAGAAGAGCAUCAAGACGUUGGCAGAGUUGCGUGCAGCGCUGAUGCACUACGAGAAGGCGGUGUCGGGGGCGCAUGUCAAGUCGAUUAUGUCAGCGAGCAAGCCCGGAUAACGUGGGUGGCGUCCCAUCGUCGUCAUGUCUCUCGCUUCUUGCAUUCGGCCGCGGAUCGUAUCACCCUUGCCAAAUUGUAUAGAGCGGAAGCGGGCACGGGAAGGGGAGAGGCCGUAAGAGAAGGAGAAGGAGGGGGCUUGUAGGACGUAGCGGUGUGCAUAACGCAUGUCUGCGUCUCGGCGACUCGCCUUCCUCAUCGAGCACCUCAUGGCACACGAAUCAGACCCUUUCUUGAACCUCCCCUCCCCUCGCGGCGUGUCGUAUCUGUGCUGCGGCUCUCGGUGUUUGUGGGCGUUGCCUCUGCGCCUGCCCUCUCUUCUUCUCCCGCCCUUUAACGUCAUCGCUCACCGAUACAUCCCCUUCUCUCUUCCAGGCGAUGCACGCGCACGCGCAUCUGCAGGGAAUCAGUCGGCGGGUUGAUUGGUUGAGGCAGGAUGGCUACUAUUCGCUCCAUCCUGUGCUGGAUGAAGGCGCACGAUUUCGUGAGUGCGGCGUUUCCCAGCGUGUUCGACAUCAUCCUUGUAGAGAAGCGGGGUUAGUAGGGUGGGCCUUCCACGCGCUUGGUAGCCGUCCUGUUCACGUUGUGCCCCGAGGGCGGCGUCGUUAACCCGGCCACGCUGUGCACAGGGAACGAUGCCACGGCGAUGCUGAUGGGCCGGAUAGCCCCCUGCUACAUCGCGAUAGCGAAUCCCCCUUCUACGAACGGACGUGUCUGUCGAUUCAGGCGAACAGCAAGGCCUCUCCUUCUGCGGUGUGGCCUCACCUAUUUUCCCAUACCGCGCAUCGGCAAGAUGGGCAGGCGCAUCGUGUACGCGAGCGUCGACAACGUCGAGCCGCCGCUGAUGCAGUGCCACCGAUGAACACGACUGCAGAGCUGCUGCCAGCCAUGUAAAGUCCAGCGGUGCUGUCGAACGGGAAGCACGUCAAGGCGAUGUUGCCCAUCAGCGUUCCGACGAGAACACAACAUCACGCGCGGGCAGCGGCAAGCACAGGCGCAUACGUGCGGUGAGAGGGUUUGGCCGGUGUCGUCCAUCAUUUGCGAGCUCCCGUGCAGCCUCCCUCGCG